RNA transcript from Harpia harpyja (harpy eagle), 6662 nucleotides. It is a transcript of the gene named OX-2 membrane glycoprotein-like, with no coding region annotated. The record is from RefSeq and is a predicted model, not a curated record. Lineage: Eukaryota; Metazoa; Chordata; Aves; Accipitriformes; Accipitridae. The transcript has 10 exons.
UGCUCUCCCCGAGGCGCCGGGUUCGCGCCGCAGUCGCCGUCCGGCGGUGCGUGAGGCCGGCAGGCAGCAGGGGCGGGUGGCGCCGGGUGGUUGCUGGGGCCGGCGGCCGGGAGCGUGAAAGGUUUUUAGCAGCCGGAGGAGUUUGGUGGAAGGCGGCGGGGGACUGGCGAAUCCGGCAGCGCUGGGCUACGCUCGGUGGCUUAGGGGAGCUCCGAGGCGCGGUUUGGGAAGGUGAAGCAGAUUUUCCCUUCCAAAAUGACUUUUCGAGCUCUGUUUUUUUGUCUGGCUUGUGCUGGGCUUGGAAAGGCAAAUGUGGUUUCGCAGGCUGAACACAGAAAUGUGAAGGUGGGCGACAGCGUGACUCUCAGCUGUGCCCUGACAGAACCCAAGGAUGUUCUGCAAGUGACGUGGCAAAAGGACUCUGAAAAAUCACACAAUAACAUAGCUACGUACAGUACCAUAAAAGGAUUAAAGAUUCAUGAGCCCUAUCAAGACCGAAUGAAUUUCACAAGCCUGGUACUCAAUGAGACAAGCAUCACUUUUUGGGACACUAGAAUGGAUGAUUCGGGGUGUUACACGUGUCUCUUCAAUGCUUUCCCUUUCGGCUCCUUCUCGGGACGUACCUGCCUGAGUGUUUCUGGUCUCAAUGCGUCUGUCCAUUACAACAUUUCCGAAGGUCAUUUGAUAGCCACCUGUAAUGCUGUUGGCCUCCCAGAGCCCACCGUCACCUGGAACAACUUGUUCAAUUCUACUCCUACACAGGAGACAAUCAGGUACACCAAUGGGGUGGUGUCCAUCACCAGUAAACUGGAGAUCAACAACACUCGGAGCAUCAGUGUUCAGGACUUGACCUGCAGAGUAAACAACGUGAAUGAAAAAAUAGAAUUGCCUGUGAAAAUUAAAGGAGAGGAGGGGUCCUCGUUGCUUUUGCUGAUGAUUAUUGUGCCUCUUUUAAUUCUCAUCGCAGUUAUAAUUCUGAUUGUGCUGUGCCGGAGGAAGAGGAUAUGCAGGAGGGGUUGAAGUGAGCACUGAAAGACAGACGAUGGUGGAGCCAAUCCCCCUGGGCAGAAGAAAGAUCCUGAACCUGCUCCAUAUGACAUGGGAUGCCAUCAACACUGGGCUAUAGGGCAGAAGAGGAACUACGGCAAGAAGCAGACACAAUUGCAGGAAUUAUGGAGGAUUAUAGGUGAGAGUUUAACUCUGUGAAGAGGAACUUAAGGAGGCCACUUCUUUGUGUGAUGGAGUGGGUUUUGAGGGGAGUGUAAGUCAGAAGCCAGCUGCACUUUGAGGUGCAAUAGAACCCCCUCUCUCCGGAGAGCCUGUGCUUGCAGAAACCUGACAUGGGGCUUCUUCAGAUUUUUGCUGCCUGUAUGAACUCGCCUGUUUCCAGGAGAACUGCUCUAAUACCUAAUGCUGGUGGUUUUGUUGAUUGGCUUUUGUGCUAAAAAAAAACCCAAGACCCAUGCAAAUUCUCACGUUUUCAUGAUGAUCUCUGUUGAUAUAACUUUGGUUCUAGAUAUGACUUUAUUUCUAGGUAAUAGGGUCAAAUAGAAAUAUGUGGAAAUACAGAUGUUAGUUUUCAUUCUUGCAGAAAACCUUGAAGAGUACUCCAGGUUCCUCAUUAGGGCACAUGUAGUCAUAUUUUAUCAUCUAUUUUAAGAUGAGCAUGCAUAUGUAUGUACAACUAGUACUUAACUUUCUGUGCAAUUUUCUGACUUCUGUGAUGUGAUCCCGAGAUGAUUCCAGCUUUGAGGUUACUCUGAGUAGCCCUUCUCCCUAGACAAGAUCUUCCACUGAAAAACAGAAUGACUUUUAAAUUCGAAAAUGUAUGUUUGGUUAGUAUCUAAACAAGGAGCCUUCACCUUCUAGAAAGAGAAAAUUGAGGUGACAGACAGAAGUAAAGGGCCUGUGUACAUCUCGUUCCUACCUUGUGGUGUCCUUGCAGGCAGGUCCUUGCUUCCAGGUUUGAUUUCAGAUAACUCUGUGUUUUUCUGCCUUGCAUCAGAUUUUGCACAGUGCCUUUUAGUCGUUCCUCGUCUGCUCUCAGCUCCUCAUGGUGCUUUCUUUAGGGGAUGCAGGUCCUGGGCUCUUCGCUGGGACUCUCCUUCUAUGUAAUAACUUCAAGGCUGGAGCUUUCUUCUCUAGAACAGAUGUAGUUACUUCCAAGAAAAAGAGUACUUCUCCUUCGCAAGUGCUAACUUGAACCAAUCACUCCCUUUCUAAAGACACACGCUGCCCAAAUUGAAAAAAAAAAAGAAGGCCCAGACCCCCAAAAGGCACAUCAGGAACUUCACUUCUCUAAGAAGGCAAGUAUUUAGACCCAGUGGAGGACACAUCUGCAUGGCCUGGGACCAUCUUAAAGGACGCCCAAUAAGCAGCUACUGGAGUACAGCUACCCCUGUGCUGCACAGCAGCUCUCUGUGUGUGCAGCGACUCCGGCUUGUCUAGGAUAUUGUGACUUCCAGGAGGGAAAUGUCUGAUUUUGCUACAUACCAGAGAUUUUAAUCUUUCCUUGCAGGCAGUAGGGAAAGCCUCAGUUCACUGAUUCUCCUGGGAGGAAAAGAUUUGAAUGUAGAAGAUGCAAUACUAAAAGUACUGUCAGUCUCCCUAUGAAAGAGGGAAAAGUGACAUAACCCAGGUGUGUAAACUCAGUGGGUUUAGGCUGGAAAAAAAUCUCUGGGUAUUAAUGCGGAGAUCUAGCUCUUCUUUCUCAUCUUAUUUGUGCUAUAUAUGAUUGAAGCAGUGUAGUGCAGAAAAGAGAAAGUACUAAGAAUGACACUUCUCUGCCCUAACUUGGAAGAAAAAUUGUUUUGUCCCAUGGGGGCAGGAAUUAAAAUUUUUCACUGGAUCCUAAUUCUGAGUGUAUAUUUUCUUACUGCUCCAUAAUCUCCAGAGAAUGAGCUGCCUUGGCUUUCCCACAUCCUGAGAAAGUUCAGACUACUUUCUUCACAGCGUGUCUUUUUCCCUUCCCAAGCAGUUGCGCAGGAAGAGGUGAGACCCACCAGUUUGCCUUGCUGCCUGUGAGCAAUGCUCUUGAUACGAUGACCCAGUCCAGAGUGGGAGGGGGAGGGGAAGGGCUGAACUCUUUUGGUCUUGUAGCAAAACUUUCAAAAUGGUUAACUCCCAUCCUUUGUUUUUUCUAAAGGUUUCUGGUGGCUACCACUGAUUUCCUACAAACAGAGCGCUGCGGAAGGGAGACCAAGAUAUGAGAACUUAUGAGGAGACAAACUCUGUAAAGCUUUCCUGUGGAAAAAAGUUAAGGGAUCAUUUAUGACGACUGCAUUAAACAUUACAGGUGCUACAGGGAUAAGAGGAAACCUAUGGGCUGGCCUGAAGUUUUUUACUCAUACAAAUCUUUUGACUUCCCUUUGCUGCCACAUUCAUGUUAGGAGGGAAGAAGGCAACUCUGUUGUCCUGCAUUGCGGAGAGGUGUGCUCCAGCUCUCGCACUGGGACCUUCCUCGUGUUGUCCAUCAGUCAUGCUCACCGCUCUGACCUCCUGGGAACAACCCCGUAGCUUGAGUUGCUUCCACUCCUUUGUGUCCGAAGGGCUGAGACAGGUACUUUCUGCCGUGGUUCGUGGUAGCUUUGCUUCCUGCUCAGUUUUUAUCCAUUGUUGUAGCAGGAGCCCUGCAUGGAUUGAGGCUCUUCAGUCCUGGAUCGAGACCCAGUGGAUCAAACUCAGACCCAGCAUACAGAUCAGUCUGUCUUCAGGCCUCAUCCCAUGUAAGUAAGUGAGAUGUCAAAGCACGUGACUCGAUCACCUUCAGUCAGGAUGGGGUUUGCAAAGAAUUCUUGUGGUCCCCAACGACAGAUCAACAAGCUGAGCUAUUUGCAUGCCAGCUCACCACCGAAAGAGCUCAGUUAUAUAUUUGGCCCAACAAGUGCUGCAAACCUUGAGAAGAUGAGGAAAUGAAGCCUUGUACAUCCACCUGACCCAGUUAAAAUCUCUCUCUGGGCUUUCGUCAGCUUGCACGUCUCGGUGGAAAUCUGCACUUCAGCGAGGGCUACACCCCUGGAGGACUGUUGCAAAGAAACAUGAGGUUCUCCAGGAUCCCGGGGAGAGCUUUUGCUCUUGUUUUGUUCACUUGUACUUUGAGCUUGUUUCCUGGCACCCACUCCUGUAAUUUGACGUCAGCUGGAGUACUUUAACACUUCUGAUGUGUCUCUGGUUUGUCUUUCCUUUCUCUUUUGUAGGCUUAGAGCUCUGAAGCCCCUCCAAGAAAAAAACAGAAACCACACUGGAAGAUGAGAGCCUUGCAUGGGUAUCGAAAGGCGUUUACGCUCAACCUUUGUUUCAUUAUGACAAGUCAGUGUCCAAAAUCAAAGCGUGCUUAUUACUUCCCAUCACUUGCUUAUAAAGUGAGACCACUGUUUUAGUAAAGUCUGUUCCCAGACUGCAGAGAAGAGGAAGCUGAUAGAUCACAGGGGUUUUCAGCCUCUGAGCGAGGUAGUUGACCGUCAUGUGCAUCGGUGAGGUCCCCAGCUGGGGAGCUGGUAGUGAUAUCACAAAUUACAUAAGUUGAGGUUUUGCGUCUGGCCGCCUUACCACGACAGAGGUUGCCACUGUAGUUAACCUUUUAAACACAACUUUCUUGAGAAAACAGAGGGUCUACUGAAGCUACCACUUCUUCCAGAAAACCAUGACGGUCAAUGACUAAGGCAUGGACAAAGGGAGCUGCAAGUUAUUUUAUUCAUUUUUUUAAUUAAAUGCAAUUGAAAUGGCAUUUCCCAAAGGUUCUGGGCCUUUGCAGAAUUUGUGAAAAUGCAGCAAAAUGAGGCCAAUUCCCUGAUGUAAAGUUUAGGUAGUAGACUUCUGGGUAUUAACAACUUAAAAAAGGAAGAAAGAAAUUUAGCAGAAGCCACCCCUGCUUCACCAUCCUUCCAAUAAUCUAGAAACGCUAAAAAGUAGGCAAGUUUCUCAGUGCACACUAAAAUUCAACAAUCCCAUCUCUUUUACUGAGGCAGGUGGUGUUUUAGAACAGGUUACAUGAGAGAAAAUAAAUGUAGCCUCUGAGACUGUAGCCACAAAUCUGUGAAUAGUGACUUCAUGGAUUACCUUGAGCUCUGAAGAACUGUUGUCUGUAAAACCUAAACACCUCCACACCCGCUGGUGUGAGGUGAAGUAGCUCCAUAGAUUUUGAUGAUGCUGAAUCCCUUUGUGUCACGUGAAAAUCUGGCUCUUUGUGACCACAAAGUGAACAGUGCCGAGACCUGAAGAGAUGUGGUCUCAGUUCCAGGUCUCGAUCAAGACACGUGUCAGUGCAUCUGGCUACAUGCAGAAAUGCUGUGUAUGCAGUAGGUGUGCCUUUUUCUAGAUACUACCCCAACUGAGGGGUAGGUUGUCCACAGAAAAUAUUAUUAGCCACAAUUUCAGAUGGAAAGAUAUAGAUAGAUGGUUAAUAAUAAGUUUAAAAGAUGCUUAUUAGCCAAGGCAAUCUGAUUUUAGGAAAUGUUGAGUCCCAGUGCACACGUCUUGCUGGGAUGGACUGGAGAGAUGGUCUGUUAGUUACUGGUGGUUUCUAACUGCAGUAUCAUAAAGUUCCUUUCUGUAUGCUGGUAGUGUGCUUGUCGAAUAUGCCGGCCUGUGAUGCCUUUCCCCUUUCCAAAGCUGCAGUGUGAAAACCGAGUGUGUGUGAUUCACUACCAGAUGACAGGUUUGUGUCUCAGCAGCAGAGGUGGCUGAGCUGCAGCAAACACCACAGCACUGCUGUUGAGCCGAGUCUCGGUAAUGCCACGUGCAGACGUGUGAUAACUAGAAAGUAAUGCAUAUGCACUAGCUCAUCUAGAAAAUCUCAUGUGAAAAGAGAAUUCAAGUUGGUUUACCUGAGAAUAAAUGCCCCUUGGAUAAAAACUCAGCUGCCAUAUUGCUAGCUUAAAGCCAGCAGUUUUACUCUUCAGUUGUGCAAAAUGAUCACUCCCAUGUUCUUAGUUAAGUCUGGUUACACCUCAUGCCAGGCAUAUUCUUCACUCCAAACUUCAGUUGAUCAAGCAUGUCUCCUGACUAAAAUCAGUUAUACAAGAUGCAUAAUUAACUAUACAAGUCCAUUAUAACAUGAACUCCUCUGUCUCACAGGCCAAGAUUCAUAAUAGUUAGAAGCUCAGCCUCUUAACAGUCUUUCCAAUACUGAUUAUCCCCUGUUGCUUUAGCUGUAUUACAGUAACCACGGCAGUAGUGUUCCAUCCAUGGGUCCCCGGAGGUGUGUAUGUACAUACGAGAAGGCAGAAGGAGGAAUAGCAGUUUGAAAUUUGACUUCAGGCUAGAUAUUUAACUGCGGUGGUUAGGAGCGUAAAGGGCACGAUAAGAUCAUCUGUGUGAAACUGAGAGUAUGACUGCAGUUGAUUUAUGCGGCUGACAUAUGCCACUGACCUGUGUGGAUGGAAAUGUGAGCUUACAUGGUUCUUGGGUGUUUUCCUUUUCAUUAGGUGAGCAGGAAUUGUGCAUGAGCAGGCCUGGCCCAGUGUAGGCUUUUUUAAUGGAAAAUAGUAGUUGCCGCUUAAAACUCACAGAAAAAUUAGAUUUCUUUACUUUGUCUGUAUUGAGGGACAUGGGGUUGUUGUCAUCUCAAGCUUUGUAGCUAACUCUGCUGUCCUCUAGGCUCUGAUGGUCUUCCUGGGGGAUCCUUUUCUGGGUGCCUGUUCAGGUCUCCUUCUCCUGCUCUC